UCACAAUUCAAACACACAUCAACGUAACCAAAAACGAGGUCAACAUAAUAGAACAAAAGUACUGUUCUUGUUACUGGAGCGGGUGGAAGAACUGGUAAAAAAAUCUGCCUAUAUACUCUUUAUUUUGCUGUUUAUUAUAGUCCUGGGUGUUAUAUAUUUGUAUUUUGUUGGUUUUGAUGUGCCCAAGGGUGAUUAUGGGUUUGGGAUUUGGAUUUCUGUGGCAUAGUUAAAGUUCUUUUUGUCUGCAACUUCAGUUGACUCCAUACUCGAUAGAAUAGAUAGAUUGACCUAUUUCCUAUUUUUUGAGUACCAAAGAUUCAACUUACAAGGAAUCAUUUGAAAUUGUUUACAUAUUUGGAAUGAAAAAGGUUCCUAUUUAGACUUGUACAGAUAAUAAAACUUUUACAUGGAACGAUUAACAUUGUAUUAGAUCCUAAAGACCUAAUUAUGAAAAAUGAUCACUCGUUGGGCCUAUUACUAUGAGUGUGUUGAAGAAAACAUUUAAAUAAAUAUGUGCAUCACAUCUAUGACAGUUUAAAUUUUUAGAUGAGUUAACAUUCUUCAUAGGGAGAGAUGAUGAAAUUUGUGGAUUGGGAUUCUUGAGAAUUUUGGUUAUGCAAAUGUAUGGAUUGUGUUGGAUUCAUGACGUUUUGUGUUUCAUGUGAAUAUCUGGAACUUUAUGACAUUGAGACUAGGUAAGUGGAAAUGUAUGUUCUGUUCCUUCAAAAAUUCACAGAAUUUCAUUUAUAGAAGAUGAAGUGUAUGAUUAACGUUCAGAAUAGGCGUUCACAAUAUAGCAGAAGUGUAAGGCAGUUUGGGGGCCUUAGGACUGGCUGUUCUAUUGCUUGCUCCUGAAGAUGGUCAUGUGACUUUGUAGUCCAGUCCAAGUGUCACGGAGUUGUAUUUAAGGAAAAUAUUCAUAUUAAAAAUUACUAUUUCAUGUUCAACAAUAAUAUAUAGAGUUGUUGCUUUCAUUUUGUUGGCCACGAGAUGAAGGAAAUUUCAGGGAUGUUCCUAAAUUCUACAUUGGGAGGCGGUGUAGAAGGGGUUGUGUCAAGGAUAACCAAAUGAAAGAAUCUGUUGUGAUGUGAUGAUUGUAUUUGUAGACUUCAGUUAGUCUUCUGAUAAUCAGCAGCGUUGAAUUUGUUAUGAGUAAAUCAUAAUACAAAAGAAUGGUUAAUAAGUUUUAAAGCCAGUUUGCAAAAUUCUGUGGUUGGUUCAUAGCUUGAGAAUUAGAUGGUCCCCAAUAGUAUUGUGGUCCAAGAAGUUUGUGAACACUAUAACGCCUUUAUGCAGUCUAUAUUAUCAUUUUCACUUCUCAACUAUCCUACUCCUGCACGUCUGUUUUCCAUUUUUCAGUUUCUUGACUUAUUAAGCUCAUCUAUUUGUCUCACCCCCACUGAACUCUUCGCUGUCUUUGCCUAUGAGCCGCUCUAAGCUUUAGUAAUGAAGUCUUAAAGACAGACGAGCUCCUUUACCUUGUUUCUAGAGACUACUUUACUCCUAUUUAAUUAGUCAAAACCGUGCAUAAAGAGAACCUGGAUAUAUGAGGGAGAGCCAUUGAGGACAAAGUGGAGAAGGUUACAUAAGUUUCCAGGUUAAUGAACAAACUGAGAGUACCUGCUCAUCUCUUAAGGGUUUUUAUUAGAGGCUUCUGGAGAAUAACUAUUUUAGAUUCUUGUAUCUGGACUGAAUUAUACAAUUUUGGAUCCUCAUGGUUUUGAGCAAGAGCAUAUGAGCUUUAGUUUGCGAAGUAGAAGACUGGUAAUUUAGGUUUGAUAUGAAGGAAGAUUUCACUAAUCAAGCCAAGGAGCAAAAAUCAGCCACCACAAAUCAAGCCAAGAAUCAAAACCAGCAAGAUAGCCAAUAAUUAUGCCUGUAACAGUCAAUCAAUUUUCUAUAAAUGUUAUUUUUGUAUAAUAAUGAAAUUAGCCUGCUAUUUUUAUAUAUGCAAAAUGUUGGCUAAUUUCCUAAAAUAGAGAUAGGAGAUUUUGAAUUUAAAUGUACGCAAGUCAUUGUAAAAUGGAGGUUGUAAAGUCUGUCAUUUUUACAGAGAAAUAAAACACUGCUCUAAUUUCCAUCAGUUGCUCUUGUUGAAUUUCCAUCAUGGUAUCAGAGCAGCCAUUCUCUCACGAGAGUUUGAUCCCCAUUUCAUCUAACCCCACUCAAAAUUCUUCAUCCCCAACAGAUAUCCCCUUGAUUGCUCUCAACGUUACAGCACAAAUCAAUGACAAACUUACUCUCUCAACCUUCCCAUAGUGGCGUGCCCAAUUUGAAGCUCUUCUAAUUGGGUACAACCUCCUCAACUACGUCACUGGAGAAAAACCUUGCCCCCAUCAAGCUGACCAACCCUCAUCCUCCCUUCAAAAAACACCCUGGGUAAAGCAGGAUAAACUAAUCCUAAGUACUAUCCUAGCAUCCACUGCGACGACCAUCACCCCUCUCAUUUUGUUUGCCAAAACUUCUUAGGAAGCGUGGCAAAAAUUAAACACCCUCUAUGCUAGCAAAUCUCGAACUAGGGCAAUGCAACUCAAAGAGGAAAUAACACUAAUGAAACGGGGCAAUCAAACCAUCCAGGAAUACCUGCAUAUAGUGAAGUCUAUUGGUGAUGAAAUAGCACUCAUUGAUCAUCCAAUUUCAGAUGAUGAUCUCACUUUAUACAUUCUCAAUGGUCUCGGCUCUGAUUAUCGGGAGAUUGCUACACCCAUCAGAGCUCGGGAAAAAUCCCUCACCUUUGAAGUCUCAACACAGCAGCUACUAGCCACGACCAACUACACGAACCGGCGUCCAGGUUCUUCCUCUUCAUCUGGAAGCAACGGCAACUCCUCUCGGGGUCCAAAUAAGAAACAUAUCUUUAAAGGGUCCGUGGCCCAAUCACACCCAAAUAGUUGGCCACGUGAUAAUAGGAAGCAAAACAACUUGGGCCGGUACAACGGCCAACGAUGCUUCCAGCCCAAAUGUCAACUUUGUGACCAAUUGGGUCACAUUGCAAAGUAGUGUCCACGAGCGACUUUUCCCGAAGUUACUACAAAUUGUGUUUCCACCUCUCAACAGUAGAACACUAAGUGGCUCAUUGAUUCUGCUGCUUCACAUAAUAUUACGAGUGAUUUGGCAAACCUCUCAAUGCACUCGGAAUAUGGUGGGACAUAUGAAGUUGAAAUAGGCGAUGGUUCAAGUUUGCAUGUAUCACACAUUGGUUUUUUGGUAUUUCAAUCACCAACACGUACCUUUAAUUUAAAUGAUACUUUGUGUUCCAAGUAUCUGCAAAAAAUUGAUUUCCAUUCAUCACUUUACCACUCAAAAUAAUGUUUUUUCUUGAAUUUCACCCCCACUUAUUUUCUUGUCAAGGAUUAGACCACGGGGGCAACUUUACUUAAAGGUGCAUGUGAAAAUGGUGUUUACAAGCUCCCAAACUCCCUAACGGACUCUCCUUAAAAAAUGGUUGCAAAUGUGCAUGAGCGAACAUCGAUUGAUGGGUGGCACAAGAGGCUUGGACAUCCAUCUCAAAAAGUUAUUCAUUAUCUUAUCAAAUCUUUUUCCCUUUUAAUAAAAAAAAGACCAAGUGUCUCACAUUUGUAUUUCUUGUUCAAUGAAUAAAGCACACCAACAACCAUUUCGUUCCACUAGUUUACAAAGCAAUGCACCCCUUGAUCUCAUCUACACCGACGUUUGGGGUUCCGCGCAUACAAUUGGGAUCGAUGGUUCUAAAUAUUAUUUGAUUUUGGUCAACCAUUUUACCAAAUAUGUGUGGUUCUACCCUUUAACAAAAAAAUCCGACGUAAGCUUCCACAAUGUAAAAAUCUUGUGGAAAAUCGCUUUCAAAAGAGAAUCAAAAGUCUCUAUUCCGAUAAUGUGGUGAAUUUGUGGCACUCAAAAAUUAUCCUUCAUUUCAUGGAAUUAGCCACUAUACCAUGGCACCCCAUACACCACGACAAAAUGGGGUCUCCGAACGUCGUCAUCGUCAUCGUCAUCGUGUUGAAACAGGAUUAACCUUAUUACAAGAUACUUCUCUACCCCUAUCAUAUUGGCCCCAUGCUUUUGAAACGGCUGCUUAUCUUAUUAAUCGACAACCAACACAAUUGUUAAAAAAUAAAUCACCAUUUGAAGCCUUAUUUCAACAAACACCAAAUUAUCUCAAGUUAAGAAAUUUUGGUUGCCUCUGUUUUCCUCUAAUCCGGCCCUACAACUCAAAUAAACUCCAACCUAAAUCCAUCCCAUGCCUAUUCUUAGGCUAUUCCCAAACCCAAAAUGCAUUCAAGUGCUUUGAUAUGAACACAAAACGUACAUAUCUCUCUCGGCAUGUUAUCUUCAAUGAAACCAAAAGUCCCAUCAAGUCCCAAGAACCCGGCACUAAAAUCCUCCCCAUCUAUGCUGCCUAUAUCGAUGAUUCCCGUGCCGCAACCACUGUCAGUAUAGUCUGAGAGCUCGCCGCCUUCCGCUACACCCUCAGGUAAUUCCCCUAAUUUCUCUCCUCGAAAUUUCCCCAAUUUAAACUCAAUUUCUUCGAUCACACCACACCAGUCGCACACAAGUGAGUCCACUCACUCAAGUCCCUUACUCACCAUGGAUAAACAAACUCCUUGUACAGAAAUCAUCGAGUCCAUAGUCUAUAACCCACCUUUUGAGAUAACCCGAACUCACACCAUGACCACUCGGUCCAUGAACAACAUCUACAAGCCGAAACAGUUAAACUCAAUUACAAAACAUCCUAUUCAACCAACUAUUGAACCAAACUGUGUGAGUCAAGCACUCCGUGAACCAAAAUGGAGACAUGCCAUGUCUGAAGAACUCACGGCAUUGAUUAGGUAUGGUACAUGGGACUUAGUUCCUCCUCCUACACACUGCAAACUAGUAGGCUAUAAAUGGGUAUUUUGAGUUAAGAGGAAAGCUGAUGGGUCUAUUGAUCGCUUUAAAGCAAGACUUGUGGCCAAAGGGUAUAACCAACGCCCUGGCUUAGAUUAUAAAGAGACAUUUAGUCCGGCUAUAAAGCCGGCAACAAUAAAAACUAUUUUGACUAUUGCUGUUAUGCAAGGGUAGAUUUUAAGACAACUUGAUGUCAACAAUGCAUUCUUACAUGGGAUGUUGACUGAAAAUGUUUACAUGGUUCAACCUCCGGGGUUCAAGGAUACAUCUAAGCCUAACCAUGUCUGCAAGUUACACAAGGCCAUCUAUGGCCUAAAAUAAGCACCAAGAGCAUGGUAUUCAGCCCUCAAGAAAACCAUUACAGAGCUUGAGUUUAUGAAUUCUAAAGUAGAUUCUUCAUUAUUUAUAUACAGAAUCAGCUCGGUUACAUGUUUUCUGCUGGUAUAUGUGGAUGACUUAGUCAUAACUGGCAUACUCAAUUUGUUGCUUCAGUAAUCACAAAACUUGGACAUUGUUUCUCUUUGAAGAUAUGGGACAGCUAAAUUUUUUCCUGGGGAUGGAAGUUAUACCUACUAAAUCUGGUCUCUUCUUAUCUCAGCAUAAAUACAUUAGAGAUAUCAUGUCCAAAAGUAAUAUGCUCGGUGCAAAAGAUGCAUCCAUACCAUUAUCAACCACUAUAUCCCUCAAACUCAUUGAUGGAACCAGCUCCGUUGACAGCAUAGAAUUUAGGAGUGUUAUAGGUGCUCUUCAAUAUCUAUCUCUUACGAGGCCAGACAUUUCAUUUACGGUGACUAAACUCUCUCAGUUCAUGCAUAAACCUACUGCAACUCAUUGGAUGGCUGCAAAGAGGCUCCUUCGUUACUUGAAACAAACAAUUUUUCAUGGAAUUCACAUUAGAUUCAGUCCGUCAACUCUUACCACAUACAGCGAUGCAGGUUGGGCAGGGAACUUUGAUGAUAGAACUUCAACCUCUGCUUAUAUAUGUUUCCUUGGCACAAAUCCAAUUUCUUGGAACUCUAAAUAACAAAGGAAAGUUGCUCGAUCAUCAACCAAGGCCGAGUACAGAGACCUUGCAAAUGUGGCCUCUGAAACCAUUUGGCUCCUUCAGUUAUUUCAAGAACUUGGCCACCCUAUAUCAUCCACACCAAAGCUACUUUGUGAUAACUUGGGUGCCACACAACUGAGUUUCAAUCCAGUCCACCACUCUCGAAUGAAGCACAUUCAAAUUGAUCUAAACUUUAUGCGCGAUAUAGUUCAGAAAGGAACACUCCAAGUUCAUCAUGUAAAUACACAGGACCAGCUUGCAUAUAUUCUAUCAAAACCACUGUCAAAGCAACGUACGAAACAACUGAGAAACAAGAUUGGUCUUGCCGAUGGCAGCCCAAUCUUGCGGGGUCGUAUGAAGGAAGAUUCCACUAAUCAAGCCAAGGAGCAAAAAUCAGCCACCACAAAUCAAGCCAAGAAUCAAAACCAGCAAGAUAGCCAAUAAUCAUGCCUAUAACGGUCAAUCAAUUUUCUGUAAAUGUUAUUUUUUUAUAACCAUGAAAUUAGCCUGCUACUUUUAUAUAUGCAAAAUGUUGGCUAAUUUCCUAAAAUAGAGAUAGGAGAUUUUGUAUUUAAAUGUACGCAAGUCAUUGUAAAAUGGAGGUUGUAAAGUCUGUCAUUUUUACAGAGAAAUAAAACACUACUCUAACUUCCAUCAGUUGAUCUUGCUGAAUUUCCAUCAUCUGGGAUGCUUAUUUUGAAAUCUUUCGUUUUCGCGAUCAGCCGUUUGUUCUGUUUUCUAGAUUUGGUCCUCCCUCGCCUGUAUGCAUAGGUCUAUAUAAGACCAUAUAAAUCUUGCGUCUGCUACUUUGUUUCUUUGUUGUCUGCAUGCUUGUAUGAUAAAAUAUUUGAUUUUUACCAGAUCAACCUAACAGCAAAAUAUUGACAAAUAUGUUUUCUUAUCCACCAACUGUAGUUUUGCAUGCAUGGUGCUAGUUAUUUGAAGGAAAAAUGAGACUUAUCUCCACACAAUUACAUUUCCAAAAAAUCCUCUGCUGACAGGCUUUUGCGUCACUUGAUUAUGUCACGACAAAUUUGUUAGAAGAAACUGAAGAAGAGAUCAGUCCAGUUUACUACUAGAGGUUUGGUAAGAACUCAGGAGGGAAAGGAAAAAGGUUGGUGGAGCAGAUGAUGUUUGCAUUGGUGAUAUAGGGAAUGCGGAAAGCAUUGUUCCAGCAAUCCAAGGUAUUGACGCGCUCAUCAUUCUUACAAGUUCCAUGCCAAAGGUAGAACCCAGGUCUGACCCAGCUAAAGGUGGAAGGCGGGAAUUCUGUUUUGACGAUGGAGCAUAUCCUGAACAGGUAUCAUUACCUAGAGUGUGUUUGGCUACGCAUAGAAAAUGUAAGAGUUAAUUUGGAGUAACUUUUUGUUUUCCAAAUAUUUGGUUGUGUUAAUUUAUAUCUUAUUUUCAAGUAAAAAAUGUUAAUUAAUUCGGAAGUGCUCUUACCUUAACGUACUUAUUUUCAGCCUUAACCAUUCAAGAAAGUGAUUUAUUUCUAAACUAAUUUACUAAAAGGUAAAUGUUUUAGCUUAGCCAAACAUGGUUCUAGUAGAGUUUGUGUUAGAGCUCCCUUUCUGCGUCAUCACUGAUCUUCAGUAUACAUUUCUAGGUUGAUUAGAUUGGGCAAAAGAACUAAAUAGAUGCCAGUGAGAAACAGUACUAAAAUUUACCGUUUCUAAUAGUUUCCUUACUCAACAGAAAGAUGUGAUUUAUGGGUUGAACAGCAAAAGCUGCUGGAGUGAAGCACAGUAUUAAUUGGAUGAAUGGGAGGAACUAAUGAAAACCACCCUUUAAACAGCUUGGGAAAUGGAAACAUAUUGGUUUGUUCUCCCUUUGCCUAGAUUCUCUUUUUCUUUUAUCGCCUCUUUUCAUGUACUAUUUUCUCUUCUGUCACAUCUCAAGAGGUUGAAGAUGCAUCCCCGCAUAUAGAUUGUUAUAUGUCAGUUUUUUCUUUUGAUAGUUUUCAUUCCUUCUUCCACACUCUGCCUUUUGGUUGUCUAUGUGGAUUUAAAGCUCAUGGUUACAAUGGAAGCUGAGAUAUUGCCAGUAUCUGAUUUCUCAGCUGGUAUAAUAAAAUUGAGUUCUCAUCCUAUAUAUUCAACUUAUAUUUGCAAAGAAAAGAAAAAUCUUUCUGCGAAUCAAGUCUAAAUUAAAUGGAGCGGCUUAUAAACAAUAUUGUCAAUACGCCUCUCAAUCCUGGAGCAAGCAAAAAGCUUCGCUUUAAGGUCAGUUGAGCUGAGUGACAUGUUUACUCGACCAGUGCUUGUUUUAUCUUAUAAUUUACUUGCUUUCCUCCUGGCUUCCAUUGAAAAGUAACUGUUGUUAUUCAACACAAGCAAAGCAAAAGAAGUAAAAAGACAGCAAAGAAAAUAAAAUGAUUUCUGGAAACUUGGAUAUAUUUUAUUCUCUGCACAGCUCUUUAUAUAGAGCUGGAGUUUAACAGAAUGCCAAAGAAAUUUGCUGAUUACAAGGCAUGACAACAACUUAUCUAAGAAAACUUGCAAAAUCAAAUGUUGUUAGCUCAUAAUCCCAUUAUAAUCAACUGUGAAUAUCUUGGGCUUCAAACUCAGAUGUUGAUACUAGCAAUGAGUAAGCCCUACUGUUAAUGUCUAGAGGAAUAGUGAUGAAAAAACCACCGAUUUAUGGUGGUUACAUUGUCCGCUUACUGCUGCUGAUUUUCACUACAAUGAGGAAAGAAAUUAUAAAAUUGUCCUCAUACUUCAGUGAUCUUACAGAGAAAAAUGGUCUCCCUGAUUCCUCAUGUAAUAUAGGAUAUUAAGGGGACCUAAUACAAAAUAAGGAAUGCCCAAUAUACUCCUAGACUAGGUUGAUCCAUGGACGAGGUGAUAAGUGAACUGUACAGUUAAGCUCUACAGUCCAGUAAAAUACUUUAAUCAUAUACUAGAUGAAACUUGCUGAGAAUACAUGCUCUCAACAUUUUUCGUUCAGGUUAUGCAUAAUCUGAAAAUUAACUCUCAUUUCUUUGGUUGGUGUAGGGCUGGAGGGUUGCAAGAUAAAGGCAGGCGUGUAAGGGAGCUACUUGUUGGAAAGGAUGAUUAACUUUUCAGACAGGAACAAGGACUACUGCCAUAGCCGAUAUGGCAGAAGUCUGCAUUCAGGUAAUUUCUACCUCUGGGAGCAAUAAUAAUCUGAAAAGAAGCAAUGUACGCACAAAUUUGAAGUCUUCUAUCUACACUGUAUUAUCUUGGUUUCUCAGUGGUUUUAAAGUAUCUGAUCUAAUGAAAUCUCACGAACAGUCACGCCAACUAAGGACUUCAAGACUAUUUUCCCAGAUCAGUACUCGAUUCUCAUUAAUGAGC
This 9228-nucleotide long non-coding RNA is filed under the name Olea europaea subsp. europaea. The record is from RNAcentral. Lineage: Eukaryota; Viridiplantae; Streptophyta; Magnoliopsida; Lamiales; Oleaceae.